RNAcentral lists this transfer RNA (362 nucleotides) under uncultured Microcystis sp. RNAcentral describes it as "partial 16S-23S ribosomal RNA intergenic spacer". The stretch from base 134 to 207 matches the Rfam family "tRNA". The record is from RNAcentral. Lineage: Bacteria; Bacillati; Cyanobacteriota; Cyanophyceae; Chroococcales; Microcystaceae.
AAAGGGAGACCUAAUUCGGGUAUAAGACGAAAAAAUAGUAGUCGAAACCAAGAAUCAAUCCCAAAAGGUCGGAACGAGGUAUGUGGCUUUCAAACUAGGUUCUGGGUUCAUAAAAGACCUGAAUCAGGAACAAGGGCUAUUAGCUCAGGUGGUUAGAGCGCACCCCUGAUAAGGGUGAGGCCCCUGGUUCGAGUCCAGGAUGGCCCACCUGCACAGGUGGCAAAAACAAAGAAAAGAAGCGAGGAAUCAGCACCUUAUCUUACUUAUAUAGUAAGAGAGAAUGCUGGCUCUGAGUACAGAGUCAGAGGAACCUUGAAAACUGCAUAGAGCUAGGUGAAAAAGCCAAAAAAGAAGACCGCAAG